GCUCUGAGAGUCUGAGAUUUAAAGGCCCCUAGAAUGGAAACCUGAGGGCCAAGGGCUCCUGUCUGUCCUUUUCCAUCCUAUAUCUGCUGUGAAGAACCAUAGCUGGCCCGUAUGUGCUCAGUAACUGUUUGUUGAAUGAAGGCACCUUUCUAAAUCACAAGCUGGCAGAAGGGUGGGCCUUCCUGAGACUCCCUCUCUAGAGGUUUAUGUUACUGUCCUUUUGAGAGAAUCCAGAUUCAGACUUUGAGUUCUGUGGCUCUGGGCAAAAACCAACAAAGACCCAAAUCCUCUGUCCUUGGGAGCUUGAAGAGGGUUGACCAGUUCGUGUCGCCAUUGGGUCUGAGAAUGUUGCCUUUAAAAUCCAUUCCUGGUCCCUGCCUACCGCUUCCAGGUCUGGGGAAUAGAGUUGAGGGGGCCACUCUCAGUCACCUGAAUUUGACUCUCCCCACAGAAACAGCAGAAGAAACAAGUGGAACAUCAGCUGGAAGAAGUAACGUGAUUUCUUUGCUUACAACAUGACUGCUGGGUUUGGGGGCACUCAGAUGCAGAGGCGCCAGUCUCAUCUUGCCCACUCCCAGCCUGGGGAAGAAGGCUCACCCCUCAGAUUCCACCCCAUCCCCAUAGGGUCCCUGAUAACCUGGUCCCAUGGGUGGGCCUGUCCUGGGACAUUGGUGGCAUUCUGGGGGCGUGCCUCUUGCUGUGCCAUCUCUGCCUCCCUGUGGUAAGAGCUCUGUCUUCCUCUUCCUACAGGCAAAGAAAGCAAACAAUGAAAUACACAAAGCACAAAUGGAGCAGUUAGAGACAAUCAACAUCCUCACAUUGGAAAAGGCAGACUUGAAGACCACCCUUUACCAUACUAAACGUGCUGCCCGACACUUCGAAGAAGAGUCCAAGGAUCUGGCUGGCCGCCUGCAAUACGCCUUACAGCGUAUUCAAGAAUUGGAGCGGGCUCUCUGUGCUGUGUGUACACAGCAGCAGGAAGAGGACAGGGUGAGUCCAACCAGCUGCCCCAUCCCCUGGCAGCCUGGCUUCCCAGAUGGAGGAGUGAGCCUAAAGGUCCCUUCUGCAGGAUGGAGUGUCCUGCCACGAAGGCAGCAUGGUCAUUUCUCACUGCUUUGUGUAUGG
This 1125-nucleotide long non-coding RNA is filed under the name Pan paniscus (pygmy chimpanzee). RNAcentral describes it as "lncRNA (ENSPPAG00000044154.1)". Lineage: Eukaryota; Metazoa; Chordata; Mammalia; Primates; Hominidae. The record is from RNAcentral.